Molecule: ribosomal RNA, 460 nt
Filed under: uncultured bacterium
Lineage: Bacteria
Description: partial 16S ribosomal RNA
Rfam family: Bacterial small subunit ribosomal RNA
Source: RNAcentral
CCUACGGGAGGCAGCAGUGAGGAAUAUUGGUCAAUGGACGAGAGUCUGAACCAGCCAAGUAGCGUGAAGGAUGACUGCCCUAUGGGUUGUAAACUUCUUUUAUAUGGGAAUAAAAUGUUCCACGUGUGCGUUUUUGUAUGUACCAUAUGAAUAAGGAUCGGCUAACUCCGUGCCAGCAGCCGCGGUAAUACGGAGGAUCCGAGCGUUAUCCGGAUUUAUUGGGUUUAAAGGGAGCGUAGGUGGAUUGGUAAGUCAGUUGUGAAAGUUUGCGGCUCAACCGUAAAAUUGCAGUUGAAACUGGCAGUCUUGAGUACAGUAGAGGUAGGCGGAAUUCGUGGUGUAGCGGUGAAAUGCUUAGAUAUCACGAAGAACUCCGAUUGCGAAGGCAGCUCACUAAACUGCAACUGACACUGAGGCUCGAAAGUGUGGGUAUCAAACAGGAUUAGAUACCCUUGUAGUC